AAAACGGCCCUUUUCAGGGCCAUCCUAAUUAACCCUCUAAUACCCA
Molecule: non-coding RNA, 46 nt
Organism: Aedes albopictus (Asian tiger mosquito)
Lineage: Eukaryota; Metazoa; Arthropoda; Insecta; Diptera; Culicidae
Source: Rfam